Molecule: ribosomal RNA, 537 nt
Filed under: Phomopsis sp. ER 1656
Lineage: Eukaryota; Fungi; Ascomycota; Sordariomycetes; Diaporthales; Diaporthaceae
Description: eukaryotic LSU rRNA
Rfam family: Eukaryotic large subunit ribosomal RNA
Source: RNAcentral
CAACAGGGAUUGCCCUAGUAACGGCGAGUGAAGCGGCAACAGCUCAAAUUUGAAAUCUGGCCUCGGCCCGAGUUGUAAUUUGCAGAGGAUGCUUCUGGCGCGGUGCCUUCCGAGUUCCCUGGAACGGGACGCCACAGAGGGUGAGAGCCCCGUAUGGUCGGACACCAAGCCUGUGUGAAGCUCCUUCGACGAGUCGAGUAGUUUGGGAAUGCUGCUCUAAAUGGGAGGUAAAUCUCUUCUAAAGCUAAAUACCGGCCAGAGACCGAUAGCGCACAAGUAGAGUGAUCGAAAGAUGAAAAGCACCUUGAAAAGGGGGUUAAAUAGUACGUGAAAUUGUUGAAAGGGAAGCACUUAUGACCAGACUUGGGCCGGGCGGCUCAUCAGGGGUUCUCCCCUGUGCACUCCGCCCGGCACAGGCCAGCAUCGGUUCUCGUGGGGGGAUAAGACCGUCAGGAACGUAGCACUCUCCGGAGUGUGUUAUAGCCUGGCGGACGAUACCCCCGUGGGGACCGAGGUCCGCGCAUUGCAAGGAUGCUG